RNAcentral lists this small RNA (125 nucleotides) under Marmota monax (woodchuck). The record is from RNAcentral. Lineage: Eukaryota; Metazoa; Chordata; Mammalia; Rodentia; Sciuridae.
GCCAGGUGCAGGUGUGCAUGCCUGUAAUCCUAGCAGCUCAGGAGGCUGAGACAGGAGGAUCAUGAGUUCAAAGCCAGCUUCAGCAAAAGUGAGGGGCUAAGCAACUCAGUGAGACCCUGUCUCUA